This 253-nucleotide ribosomal RNA is filed under the name uncultured bacterium. RNAcentral's name for it is "partial 16S ribosomal RNA". It matches the Rfam family "Bacterial small subunit ribosomal RNA", at positions 524 to 776 of the family's 1533-position model. The record is from RNAcentral.
AACGUAGGACGCAAGCGUUAUCCGGAGUUACUGGGCGUAAAGCGCGCGCAGGCGGCUCGAAACGUCUGAUGUGAAAUCUCCUCGCUCAACGGGGAGAGGCCAUUGGAAACGGUCGAGCUGGAGGGCAGUAGAGGUAGGCGGAAUUCCGGGUGGAGUGGUGAAAUGCGUAGAUAUGCGGAGGAACACCGAUGGCGAAGGCAAUCCCCUGGACCUGUACUGACGCUCAUGCACGAAAGCGUGGGGAGCAAACAGG